UGGGGGAUAUUGCACAAUGGGCAAAAGCCUGAUGCAGCGACGCCGCGUGGGGGAUGAAGGCCUUCGGGUUGUAAACUUCUUUUGCUCUGAACAAGGCAUGCCUUUGGGGUGUGUUGAGUGUAGGGGUUGAUUAGCGCCGGCUAACUACGUGCCAGCAGCCGCGGUAAUACGUAGGGCGCGAGCGUUGUCCGGAAUUAUUGGGCGUAAAGGGCUUGUAGGUGGCUGGUUGCGUCUGUCGUGAAAGCUCAUGGCUUAACUGUGGGGUUGCGGUGGGUACGGGGUGGCUUGAGUGCAGUAGGGGAGGCUGGAAUUCCUGGUGUAGCGGUGGAAUGCGCAGAUAUCAGGAGGAAUACCGGUGGCGAAGGCGGGUCUCUGGGCUGUUACUGACGCUGAGGAACGAAAGCGUGGGUAGCAAACAGGA
This 421-nucleotide ribosomal RNA is filed under the name Fusobacteriota bacterium. Its description in RNAcentral is "Fusobacteria bacterium partial 16S ribosomal RNA". It matches the Rfam family "Bacterial small subunit ribosomal RNA", at positions 355 to 777 of the family's 1533-position model. The record is from RNAcentral. Lineage: Bacteria; Fusobacteriati; Fusobacteriota.